CUCGUAGGCGGUCUGUUGCGUCUGCUGUGAAAACUCGGGGCUCAACCCCGAGCCUGCAGUGGAUACGGGCAGACUAGAGGUAGGUAGGGGAGAAUGGAAUUCCCGGUGUAGCGGUGAAAUGCGCAGAUAUCGGGAGGAACACCGGUGGCGAAGGCGGUUCUCUGGGCCUUACCUGACGCUGAGGAGCGAAAGCGUGGGGAGCGAACA
This 207-nucleotide ribosomal RNA is filed under the name uncultured bacterium. RNAcentral's name for it is "partial 16S ribosomal RNA". It matches the Rfam family "Bacterial small subunit ribosomal RNA", at positions 568 to 774 of the family's 1533-position model. The record is from RNAcentral.